GAUUAGAUACCGUCGUAGUCUUAACUAUAAACUAUGCCGACCAGGGAUAUGAGUUGUUAUGAAUAGAUUUUAUCUAUUCAAUUUCCUCUUGUGGACCUUGUGAGAAAUCAUAAGUUUUUGGGUUCUGGGGGGAGUAUGGUCGCAAGGCUGAAACUUAAAGGAAUUGACGGAGGGGCACCACCAGGAGUGGAGCGUGCGGCUUAAUUUGACUCAACACGGGAAAACUUACCAGGUCCAGACAUUAGAAGGAUUGACAGAUUGAUAGCUCUUUCAUGAUUUAAUGGGUGGUGGUGCAUGGCCGUUCUUAGUUGGUGGAGUGAUUUGUCUGGUUAAUUCCGAUAACGAACGAGACCUUUACCAUACUAAAUAGUUUGAUUUAUUCAUUUAUGAAUAAAUUUAUUUUAUUAAACUUCUUGGAGGGACUAUUGGUUCUUAAACCAAAGGAAGUAAAGGCGAUAACAGGUCUGUGAUGCCCUUAGAUGUUCUGGGCUGCACGCGCGCUACAAUGAUAAACUCAACGAGUAUUUAAUAUUUAUUUAUUAUAUUGCUGUAUUGGAAAAUAUGGCUAAUCUUAAACGUUUAUCGUGCUUGGGAUAGAUGAUUGCAAUUAUUUAUCUUGAACCAGGAAUUCCUAGUAAUCGUAUAUCAUCAGUGUGCGAUGAUUACGUCCCUGCCCCUUGUACACACCGCCCGUCGCUGCUACCGAUUGGAUGAUCCGGUGAAAUCCUCGGAUAAUGAUAAAUACUUUACUUUGUAAAGUUUAUCGUUAGAAGUUGAUUAAACCUUAUCAUCUAGAGGAAGCAAAAGUCGUAACAAGGUUUCCGUAGGUGAACCUGCAGAAGGAUCA
This 847-nucleotide ribosomal RNA is filed under the name Vannella calycinucleolus. RNAcentral's name for it is "bacterial SSU rRNA". It matches the Rfam family "Eukaryotic small subunit ribosomal RNA", at positions 1006 to 1828 of the family's 1831-position model. The record is from RNAcentral. Lineage: Eukaryota; Discosea; Flabellinia; Vannellidae.